RNAcentral lists this ribosomal RNA (385 nucleotides) under Anguispira nimapuna. RNAcentral describes it as "partial large subunit ribosomal RNA". The record is from RNAcentral. Lineage: Eukaryota; Metazoa; Mollusca; Gastropoda; Stylommatophora; Discidae.
CAUAGCCUAAAGAUUAUUUUAGGUAAAUUCUGCUCAAUGAAUUAAAUAGCCGCAGUAAACUGACUGUGCAAAGGUAGCAUAAUAAAUUGGUCUUUAAUUGUGAUCUUGUAUGAAUGGAAAAUAUAUAUUCUGUCUGUUUUAUAAUAAAUAAAAUUACUAAAAAGGUGAAAAUUCCUUUAACUAUUGAAAGACGAGAAGACCCUUAGAAUUUUUAUUAUAUUUGUUGGGGCGACAGAUUACUCAUAAACAUAAUUUAAUUUUUAACAAGGCAAGAAUGUUUAAAUUACCUAAGGGAUAACAGCAUUAUUUUAUGUUUAUGACCUCGAUGUUGGACUAGGAAAACAUGGCAAGCAGUCAUUAUUGUUCUGUUCGAACCCUACGUGAU